Molecule: microRNA precursor, 52 nt
Filed under: Marmota marmota marmota (Alpine marmot)
Lineage: Eukaryota; Metazoa; Chordata; Mammalia; Rodentia; Sciuridae
Also listed under: 1 other name
Description: mir-1302 microRNA precursor family
Rfam family: mir-1302 microRNA precursor family
Source: Rfam by way of RNAcentral
UUUUUAGUAUAAGUAUGUCCCAAGCAAAAUUUGGGACAUACUUAUACUAAAA